Medicago truncatula (barrel medic) is the source of this 2031-nucleotide long non-coding RNA. RefSeq lists it as uncharacterized. NCBI's taxonomy places the organism in Eukaryota, Viridiplantae, Streptophyta, Magnoliopsida, Fabales, Fabaceae. The record is from RefSeq and is a predicted model, not a curated record. The transcript is spliced from 6 exons.
UCUUCUCACUCCCUCUAAUUAUACGCUUCCUCUCUCUUCAACCUUCAAACGGUUUCUGCUUCAUUGAACAACCAUCACCGUUUCUGCUAUUUUUUUUUUUUUUUCCUUCUUGUUUUACAAAAUAAUUUUUUAAUUAUAAAGUUGAAAAGCCAUUUUAAUUUGUAAUCGAUGAAAAAACCCAUGGAUGUAUACUGGAGAUAACAAAUAUCAAAACUCAAAUUCAAAAUCAAUGGCACAACAUGAAAUAACUUUUUCAAUUGAUACUGUAAAAUCUUUGUUAUGCGGAUGUGGGGGUUUGACAAAUUGCCUUGGAUCCAUGGGAAUGAAUUCAGGGAAUGGGUUUUGUUUCAAAAUGGUUAUUUUCUUGCACAAUCUGUAGUUUCAAAUUUCAAUUUCUUAAGAUUCCACGUGUUUUAAGGGUAAAUCUCAGUUUUUUUUUAUUACUUUGUUUGGUGUAUGAUUUGUUGACGACAAUGGAUGAGGAUGGAAUCGUAGUAGUUAUGUUCAUCAUGUACAAGAGAGAAGAUAGGAGGGAACAAACAUAAUCUCCCAACGUAAGGCGAGUGGUUGAAGGUGCAGCUUAAAACACAAAAUAUCUCAACCGUUUAUUUCAAUCAAGUGGCUAUUAUUUAAUGCUCUCACCCUCUCACUUGAUACAUCCCCUAUGUAUAUGUUAUUGGGUUGGAUUUGGUGGAUGAUGAAAGCAAGUUUGAAAGCCAGCAAAAACCAAACACAUGCCUACACCUGCUCAAUGGACUGACAAAAAUAAUCCAACAUAUUCAUACUAUAUCUAUUACUGUUAUGCCAAUCUUUACACCUUAAACAAGGUGUGUAACUUUUUUUCAAGACAACUAUAUACUCCUAUGGAAAUUGAGCUCAUGCGAUUUAUGUGAGAUUGCCCGAAAUUCAGUUUAUCAGUCCGGUUUCUCACAUGCCUUAAAGUCACACUAGAUUGGCAAGGAGUCUUACAAGAGAGCGCCAAAUGGAAAUGACAUUCGCAAAACAAAUGUACUUCACAUCCGAUUAAAAUUCUGAAACACGAUUUGGAAAGUUGAGAUGCGACGGGUUUAUUUGGGCAGAGUCAACAAAGUAGUAGACAAAAAAGCGGCAUGUUCUUCAUCAACACUUGAAAAACCAAGCUGUUAACAGGUUGAAAAUGAGUUCCACACACCCACUGAGCAUUGACGGGCGUCUGAGGCUGAAAAUACAUGUCAUAAUACUAAGGCUGAAGCCGGUAAAAAUUUCGUUUGAGGAUAUUCCACGUGAUCGCUUAGCUUCAGAUUUGGCCGAGUGUUAAAAUGGUUUCUCAUAUAUAUUGGAAAGUGUUUUCUCGUAUUGACUUGGCCGAGUGUUAAAAUGAUUCGGAUAGCAAUGAUUGGGUGGGCGCAUAAAACAAUUGAUACUUGUUGCACUUGAAAUUAUAAAUAACAACAGUACUGCUAGUUUAUAUACCAUUCCAUGAGAGAAAUUAGCGUUCUCAGAUUUUGGUCCUCAUUCCUUGUCGUUACUGAGCUUUUUCAUUGGAAGAUGAAGAGUCUCCUCAGUUUUGCCAUGCAAUGUAACGGUAGUGAGUCAGAGUUAUGAUGAAAUUGUGCGAUGAUGUAACGACAUAGCAUUGCUUUUGCAGGUGUUUCGCAGGUUUGUGCCGGUCUCCUUUCGGCGGUCACUUCUUGCUGUUGGUUUUUAGUUUCUUUUUCCGGUGGUGUCUUCCCGUGUGUUUUUUGAUCUCGGGUUGGCUGUUUGGGUUUUUUGGGAGGCUUUUUGUGUUUUAGGCAUCUUCGGAUGGCCUUGAGGUGUAUAUUAUACUUUCUUCUUUUAUUAUUCUCUAUAUAUAAUUUUGCCAUUCAAAAAAAAAAAAAUUUGAGCAUUGUAACACACAUCCAUGGGAAGAAACUCAACAAUUCAGUGGCAGCGGGCUUUUUUUCAACUUAACAGAUUCCUUCAAUGAUUUUGCACUUUCCACUUUCAAUCUUCUCUUUCUCUUCAUACUCGUCAGUCCUACACUCCCCCUUUCACCCCUCACAUUCAUGG